CCUACGGGACGCAGCAGUGGGGGAUAUUGCACAAUGGGGGGAACCCUGAUGCAGCGACGCCGCGUGGGUGAGGAAGUACCCCGGUAUGUAAAGCCCUUUCGGCAGGGAAGAAAAUGACGGUACCUGGCGAAGAAGCCCCGGCUAACUACGUGCCAGCAGCCGCGGUAAUACGUAGGGGGCAAGCGUUAUCCGGAUUUACUGGGUGUAAAGGGAGCGUAGACGGCGAUGCAAGUCUGAAGUGAAAGGCGGGGGCCCAACCCCCGGACUGCUUUGGAAACUGUAUGGCUGGAGUGCAGGAGAGGUAA
RNAcentral lists this ribosomal RNA (305 nucleotides) under uncultured bacterium. Its description in RNAcentral is "bacterial SSU rRNA". It matches the Rfam family "Bacterial small subunit ribosomal RNA", at positions 338 to 660 of the family's 1533-position model. The record is from RNAcentral.